GAUCCUGGCUUAGGAUGAACGCUAGCUACAGGCUUAACACAUGCAAGUCGAGGGGCAGCGGAAGUUAGCUGCUAACUUGCCGGCGACCGGCGCACGGGUGAGUAACGCGUAUCCAACCUUCCCCUUAGUAGGGCAUAGCCCGUAGAAAUGCGGAUUAAUACCCUAUGUUAUUCGUCGAGGACAUCUGAAGUGAAUCAAAGGUUUACCGCUAAGGGAUGGGGAUGCGUCUGAUUAGGCAGCAGGCGGGGUAACGGCCCACCUGGCCGACGAUCAGUAGGGGUUCUGAGAGGAAGGUCCCCCACAUUGGAACUGAGACACGGUCCAAACUCCUACGGGAGGCAGCAGUGAGGAAUAUUGGUCAAUGGUCGAGAGACUGAACCAGCCAAGUAGCGUGCAGGAUGACGGCCCUAUGGGUUGUAAACUGCUUUUAUGGCGGGGAUAAAGUGACGUACGUGUACGUUUUUGUAGGUACCGCAUGAAUAAGGACCGGCUAAUUCCGUGCCAGCAGCCGC
RNAcentral lists this ribosomal RNA (512 nucleotides) under uncultured bacterium. RNAcentral's name for it is "bacterial SSU rRNA". It matches the Rfam family "Bacterial small subunit ribosomal RNA", at positions 15 to 518 of the family's 1533-position model. The record is from RNAcentral.